RNAcentral lists this ribosomal RNA (460 nucleotides) under uncultured bacterium. Its description in RNAcentral is "partial 16S ribosomal RNA". It matches the Rfam family "Bacterial small subunit ribosomal RNA", at positions 338 to 795 of the family's 1533-position model. The record is from RNAcentral.
CCUACGGGAGGCAGCAGUGAGGAAUCUUUGUCAAUGGGCGCGAGCCUGACCCAGCCACGUCGCGUGAAGGAUGACUGCCCUCCGGUUUGUAAACUUCUUUUUUAAGGGAAUAAAGUGAGGCACGUAUGCCUUUUUGUAUGUACUUUAUCAAUCCGGAUCGGCUAACUCCGUGCCAGCAGCGGCGGUAAUACGGCGGAUCCGAGCGUUAUCCGGAUUUAUUGGGUUUAACGGGAGUGUAGAUGGGUUGUUAAGUCAGUUGUGAAAGUUUACGGCUCAACCGUGGAAUUGCAAUUGAUACUGGCAGUCUUGAGUGCAGGAGAGGAAGGCGGAAUUCGUGGUGUAGCGGUGAAAUGCGUAGAUAUAACGAAGAACACCGAUGGCGAAGGCAGCUUACUAAACUGUCACUGACAUUGAUGCGCGAAAGCGUGGGUAUCAAACAGGAUUAGAUACCCGAGUAGUC